GUGAGGAAUAUUGGUCAAUGGGCGGGAGCCUGAACCAGCCAAGUCGCGUGAAGGAAGAAGGAUCUAUGGUUCGUAAACUUCUUUUGCAGGGGAAUAAAGUGCAGGACGUGUCCUGUUUUGUAUGUACCCUGAGAAUAAGGAUCGGCUAACUCCGUGCCAGCAGCCGCGGUAAUACGGAGGAUACGAGCGUUAUCCGGAUUUAUUGGGUUUAAAGGGUGCGUAGGUGGUUUGAUAAGUCAGCGUUGAAAGUUUGCAGCUUAACUGUAAAAAUGCCGUUGAAACUGUCGGACUUGAGUGUAAAUGAGGUAGGCGGAAUGCGUGGUGUAGCGGUGAAAUGCAUAGAUAUCACGCAGAACUCCGAUUGCGAAGGCAGCUUACUAAGCUACAACUGACACUGAAGCACGAAAGCGUGGGGAUCAAACAGGAUUAGAAACCCGUGUAGUCC
Molecule: ribosomal RNA, 445 nt
Filed under: uncultured bacterium
Lineage: Bacteria
Description: partial 16S ribosomal RNA
Rfam family: Bacterial small subunit ribosomal RNA
Source: RNAcentral